Molecule: ribosomal RNA, 253 nt
Filed under: uncultured bacterium
Lineage: Bacteria
Description: partial 16S ribosomal RNA
Rfam family: Bacterial small subunit ribosomal RNA
Source: RNAcentral
UACGAAGGGUGCAAGCGUUAAUCGGAAUUACUGGGCGUAAAGCGUGCGUAGGUGGUCUUUUAAGUCCGUUGUGAAAGCCCUGGGCUCAACCUGGGAAUGGCAGUGGAUACUGGAAGGCUGGAGUACGGUAGAGGAGGGUGGAAUUCCCGGUGUAGCGGUGAAAUGCGUAGAGAUCGGGAGGAACAUCAGUGGCGAAGGCGGCCCUCUGGGCCGUAACUGACGCUGAGGAGCGAAAGCAUGGGGAGCGAACAGG